Long non-coding RNA from Beta vulgaris subsp. vulgaris (sugar beet), 1302 nucleotides. RefSeq lists it as uncharacterized. NCBI's taxonomy places the organism in Eukaryota, Viridiplantae, Streptophyta, Magnoliopsida, Caryophyllales, Amaranthaceae. The record is from RefSeq and is a predicted model, not a curated record. The transcript has 2 exons.
UUUAUCCUUUUGACAAUGCUAUGUAAGUUUCGAGGACGAAACUUUUUCUAAGGGGGUAAGGAUGUAAUAUCCUAAAAAUCUUAAACAUAUUUAAGUGAGUAAUUAACGUAAUAAUGUAGUUAGAAUAUAUUUUAUUUUAUUCGUUUCACUAAUUAAGCAACGUAUAAUAAAAUGUUUAUAGAAUUUUUAACAUAAAAAUUUACUAACUUAAAUUAUGACGAUAAUUUAUAAUUACGAUUUUAUGAGUUAAACAAGAAGGUUAAUAAAGUUGAUAAUUCACUUAAAGUACAAAAUGUCAACAUUUCACCCAAAAUGUCAUCAAGCCACGUUUGAAGGUGUUAGUGUGGAAAAUUUUCUGAUUUUUGGUUGGGAAACAAAAAGGGCAAAAGAAAAAGAGAAGCCAUGGUCAAUUCCCCCAUUAAUUUGCCUUCUUCCUCACCUUUUCAUGGCCAUUUGGCACUCAUGCAAUCAUCACUCUCUUCUUCUUCUUCAGUCAAAUCUAUUACCAAUCCUCACAAUUGCUUCUUCAAGUAAACAAAAUCAGAUUACUUACUUCACCAUCUUCCUCCCAACCACUGAUUUUAACUCCCAAAUUUCUACUAUAAAUAGCCAUGGAAACUCAACAUCAAGAGCACACCAACAAUCUUCAUCCCCUCUUCUCUCUCUCUAAUCAGAAAUUCAGUCAAUAAUCGCCGGAAAAUUGUAACUAAAAGAAUAAAAAAAAAAAGAAAAAAAAGAAAGUUAGAAAAAAAAAAAAAAAAAGAAAAAGAAACCCCAAAUUCAUAAUCUCUCUCCUCUGGUUUCGCCUCCACAACCGGCCACCUGCGCCGCGCCAGUCUCGGCCCCAUCUCGUCGUCAUUCAGCGGUCACCAGCCGCCGUCGGAGCUUCACCAAACCGCCAGCACUCCUCCUCCUCGCGCGCUCUCUCUCUCCUCGCGCUGUCUCUCUCGUCCCUCUUCUUCUUCGCGACGCCACUGCACGCGCAGCACCGCCGAGACCCAGCCACCACGCCACGCUGCCGUCGCUUCUCGCUGACCGCCGCUGCUGCUCGCCGUUCACCGGAGCCGACGUCCCACCUCUACCGGAAUUUUCGUCCUCCCUGCUCCUAGUAGCAGAGGUACCGAUGGUGAUAACGGGAUGGCGUAGCAGUGAGGAUUUAAUUAAUAUCUAGAUUAUCUAGACUCUCAUGGUUUUAAUUUAAGUUUAUGUCAAAACUCUGAUUAGUAACUAAGUUUCUAUUAAUCAAGACUAAUGUUGGAUCUAUAUUAUGCUUCAUGUUAUAAAUGUUUAAGUUUAUGAUUU